This 253-nucleotide ribosomal RNA is filed under the name uncultured bacterium. RNAcentral's name for it is "partial 16S ribosomal RNA". It matches the Rfam family "Bacterial small subunit ribosomal RNA", at positions 524 to 776 of the family's 1533-position model. The record is from RNAcentral.
UACGAAGGUCCCAAGCGUUGUUCGGAAUCACUGGGCGUAAAGCGUGUGUAGGCUGCGCGGAAAGUCAAAUGUGAAAGCCCAGGGCUUAACCCUGGAACUGCAUUCGAUACUCCCGUGCUAGAGUAAUGGAGAGGUAAGUGGAAUUCUCGGUGUAGCAGUGAAAUGCGUAGAUAUCGAGAGGAACAUCAAUGGCGAAGGCAACUUACUGGACAUUUACUGACGCUCAGACACGAAGGCUAGGGGAGCGAAAGGG